GACGAACGCUGGCGGCGUGCUUAACACAUGCAAGUCGAACGGAAAGGCCCUGCUUUUGUGGGGUGCUCGAGUGGCGAACGGGUGAGUAGCACGUGAGUAACCUGCCCUUGACUUUGGGAUAACUUCAGGAAACUGGGGCUAAUACCGGAUAGGAGCUCCUGCUGCAUGGUGGGGGGUGGAAAGUUUCGGCGGUUGGGGAGGGACUCGCGGCUUAUCAGCGUGUUGGUGGGGUAGUGGCUUACCAAGGCUUUGACGGGUAGCCGGCCUGAGAGGGUGACCGGCCACCUUGGGACUGAGAUACGGCCCAGACUCCUCCGGGCGGCAGCAGUGGGGAAUAUUGCACCAUGGGCGGAAGCCUGAUGCAGCAACGCCGCGUGCGGGAUGACGGCCUUCGGGUUGUAAACCGCUUUCGCCUGUGCCGAAGCGUGAGUGACGGUAAUGGGUAAAGCAGCACCGGCUAACUACGUG
Molecule: ribosomal RNA, 468 nt
Filed under: uncultured bacterium
Lineage: Bacteria
Description: partial 16S ribosomal RNA
Rfam family: Bacterial small subunit ribosomal RNA
Source: RNAcentral